This 111-nucleotide ribosomal RNA is filed under the name uncultured bacterium. RNAcentral's name for it is "partial 16S ribosomal RNA". It matches the Rfam family "Bacterial small subunit ribosomal RNA", at positions 1373 to 1482 of the family's 1533-position model. The record is from RNAcentral.
CCCGGGUCUUGUACACACCGCCCGUCACACCACGAGAGUUUGUAACACCCGAAGUCGGUGGGGUAACCGCAAGGAGCCAGCCGCCUAAGGUGGGACAGAUGAGUUGGGGUG